AUGCUGGAGGAGGAGGGGAAGGGGAAGCAGGGCAAGGGGCGGCGCUACGGCCUCGUCGACUACCGGGCGCUGCCGGCCUACAUGCGCGACAACGAGUACAUCCUGCGCUACUACCGCUGCGAGUGGCCGCUCCCGCAGGUGCUCCUCUCCGUCUUCUCCAUCCACAACGAGACCCUCAACGUCUGGACGCACUUGAUAGGAUUCUUCAUCUUCCUUUCUUUGACCAUAUAUACUGCAACAAAAGUUCCAAAUGUGGAUCUUCAGAGCCUGCAGAAUUUACCUGAUAUACUUAGGAAUGCUGAUCUUCAUAAGAUUCAGGCAGAGCUUGCGGCAUGCCUUCCUUCAUUACCUCACUUUUCUGAUCUGCAAAAGAUGAAGGAUGAAUUGAGAAGCUCAUGGAAUUCUAUCGAUGUGCUUCCGUCAAUAUCUCGUUGGCGUCUCUUGGAAUUACUCUCAAAUUGCUUGCCUGACAGAUUUACCCAUUCCAACGAAACUAAUCUUUCUGUUCUUGAAAGCAUGAAGGAGGAUAUUGUAACUGUAAUUGCACCACACUUUAUUAGGCCGAUCUCUAGGUGGCCGUUCUUUGCCUUCUUGGGAGGAGCCAUGUUUUGCCUUCUUGCCAGCAGCACAUGCCACCUUCUGUCCUGCCACUCUCGCCGCCUUGCAUAUAUCAUGCUUCGGCUCGACUAUGCGGGCAUUGCAGCUCUUAUCGCCACUUCUUUCUACCCUCCAGUAUACUACUCUUUCCUGUGCCAUCCUUUCUUUUGCAACCUGUACCUCAGCUUCAUAACUAUUCUAGGAUUAGCAACUAUUGCGUUCUCUCUGCUCCCGGUCUUCCAGAACCCGGAAUUCCGAACUAUACGGGCGUGCCUCUUCUUUGGCAUGGGAGCUUCAGGUGUGAUCCCUGUUUUUCACAAGUUGAUCCUUUUUUGGCACCAACCAGAGGCACUGAUCACUACCGGAUAUGAAAUUUUGAUGGGGCUGUUCUACGGUGUUGGAGCAUUGGUGUACGCGACUCGGGUGCCUGAACGCUGGAUGCCCGGGAAGUUUGACAUUGCUGGGCACAGCCACCAGCUCUUCCAUGUCUUGGUCGUUGCUGGAGCCUACACCCACUACCAUGCAGGGCUGUUGUACCUCAAGUGGAGAGAUCAGCAGGGCUGCUAA
This 1164-nucleotide ribosomal RNA is filed under the name Triticum aestivum (bread wheat). Its description in RNAcentral is "partial small subunit ribosomal RNA". The record is from RNAcentral. Lineage: Eukaryota; Viridiplantae; Streptophyta; Magnoliopsida; Poales; Poaceae.